GACGAACGCUGGCGGCGUGCCUAAUACAUGCAAGUAGAACGCUGAAGGAGGAGCUUGCUUCUCUGGAUGAGUUGCGAACGGGUGAGUAACGCGUAGGUAACCUGCCUGGUAGCGGGGGAUAACUAUUGGAAACGAUAGCUAAUACCGCAUAAGAUUGACUAUUGCAUGAUAGUCAGUUAAAAGGUGCAAUUGCAUCACUACCAGAUGGACCUGCGUUGUAUUAGCUAGUUGGUGGGGUAACGGCUCACCAAGGCGACGAUACAUAGCCGACCUGAGAGGGUGAUCGGCCACAAUGGGACUGGGACACGGCCCAGACUCCUACGGGAGGCAGCAGUAGGGAAUCUUCGGCAAUGGACGGAAGUCUGACCGAGCAACGCCGCGGGAGUGAAGAAGGGUUUCGGAUCGUAAAGCUCUGUUGUAAGAGAGGAACGAGUGUGAGAGUGGAAAGUUCACACUGUGACGGUAUCUUACCAGAAAGGGACGGCUAACUACGUG
RNAcentral lists this ribosomal RNA (495 nucleotides) under uncultured bacterium. Its description in RNAcentral is "partial 16S ribosomal RNA". It matches the Rfam family "Bacterial small subunit ribosomal RNA", at positions 28 to 507 of the family's 1533-position model. The record is from RNAcentral.